AUCAAAGUGUUAAAAUAAAAUACAUAUAUAUAAUACUUAUUAAAGUUAUAUUAAAGACAAUAUUUUAAGUAAAAAUUAUGAAACAAUUAAAUUAUUGAUAGUUUAAAGUAAUGAAAAUGAAAUAGAUCAAAAAAUAUAUAAGUAAAAUUUAAUUUGUACCUUUUGUAUCAGGGUUAAUUAAUUUAAUUUAAAUAUCUUAAUUGUCUCGAAAAUAAAUGAUCUAAAUAUUAUAUUACUGUUCUUGUAGAAUAAAGAAUGUAAAUAUAUAUUUAGAAAUUAUAUGUUUUACGUAUUUAUUUAUAUCUAGUUUUCUUCUAAAUAAAUUUAAUUUAUAUACAAUAAAAAUUGUAUAAUACAAUCAUAUAAAUUAUAUUAUACUUAUUGUAUAAAAAACUCACGGGAUAAACUGUGAGUUUAAUUAUUUAAUACAAUAUUUUUUAAAUAGACCUAUGGGCUUAGUAUUAGCUAUUAGAACAGAAAAUUUUACAAUUCAUCUUAAUUGUAAAUUAAAGAUUUUUUAGUAAAUUAAUUGAUUAUAAGUAAUUUUUAGAAGAAAACAAUUUUUAAUAAAAACAAAUUGAUUAAAAUGAUUAAAUUAGUAAUAUAAUUGAAUUUAUGUAUAGAGUAACAAUAUCAACAAAUAUAAUAUAUAUAAUUAAGGAACUAGGCAAAAUAGGCAUAUUCACCUGUUUAUCAAAAACAUGUCUUAUUGAUAAUAAUUUUAAGUCAAUCUGCCCAAUGAAUUAGAUUUUUAAUGGCUGCAGUAUAACUGACUGUACAAAGGUAGCAUAAUAAAUUGAUUUUUAAAUGAAAUCUGGAAUGAAAGGAUUAAUGAAAUAUGUACUGUCUCAUUUAUAUAAUAUGAAUUUAAAAUUUUAAUAAAAAUGUUAAAAUUUUUUUAUGGGACGAUAAGACCCUAUAGAAUUUUAUAUUAACUUUACCUAGCGGUUAAUGCUAGUUUUUUGUUAAUAUUUGGUUGGGAGGAUUAUUAAAUUUAACAAACUUUAUAUCAUUAUAAACUUUGAUUUAAGAAAAUAUAAUGACCUUCAAUUUGAAAUAGUUAGAGUAAAUUACCUUAGGGAUAACAGCGUAAUAUUUUUUUAUAGACCUUAUAGAAAAAAAUGGUUGCGACCUCGAUGUUGAAUUAAGAUAAAUUUUAAAUGCAGGAGUUUAAUAAUUAAGUCUGUUCGACUUUUAAAAUCUUACAUGAUUUGAGUUCAAAUCGACGUAAGUCAGAUUGGUUUCUAUCUAUAAAAAUAUUUAAAUUGUUUGUACGAAAGGACUACAAUUUACAAAAUAUUUGUUUAGUUAUAAUAAAUAAUAUAGUAUUAUGAUAAAAAUAAUCAA
This 1347-nucleotide ribosomal RNA is filed under the name Lepidotrigona flavibasis. RNAcentral's name for it is "16S ribosomal RNA". Lineage: Eukaryota; Metazoa; Arthropoda; Insecta; Hymenoptera; Apidae. The record is from RNAcentral.